Molecule: ribosomal RNA, 484 nt
Filed under: uncultured bacterium
Lineage: Bacteria
Description: partial 16S ribosomal RNA
Rfam family: Bacterial small subunit ribosomal RNA
Source: RNAcentral
ACUGAACGUUGGCGGCAGGCCUAACACAUGCAAGUCGAGCGGAUGAAGGGAGCUUGCUCCUGGAUUCAGCGGCGGACGGGUGAGUAAUGCCUAGGAAUCUGCCUGGUAGUGGGGGAUAACGUCCGGAAACGGGCGCUAAUACCGCAUACGUCCUGAGGGAGAAAGUGGGGGAUCUUCGGACCUCACGCUAUCAGAUGAGCCUAGGUCGGAUUAGCUAGUUGGUGGGGUAAAGGCCUACCAAGGCGACGAUCCGUAACUGGUCUGAGAGGAUGAUCAGUCACACUGGAACUGAGACACGGUCCAGACUCCUACGGGAGGCAGCAGUGGGGAAUAUUGGACAAUGGGCGAAAGCCUGAUCCAGCCAUGCCGCGUGUGUGAAGAAGGUCUUCGGAUUGUAAAGCACUUUAAGUUGGGAGGAAGGGCAGUAAGUUAAUACCUUGCUGUUUUGACGUUACCAACAGAAUAAGCACCGGCUAACUUCGUG